CCUACGGGAGGCAGCAGUGGGGGAUAUUGCACAAUGGGGGAAACCCUGAUGCAGCGACGCCGCGUGUGGGAAGACGGUCCUCUGUAUUGUAAACCACUGUCCCCAGGGACGAAGAUGACGGUACCUGGGGAGGAAGCUCCGGCUAACUACGUGCCAGCAGCCGCGGUAAUACGUAGGGAGCGAGCGUUGUCCGGAAUUACUGGGUGUAAAGGGAGCGUAGGCGGGACUGCAAGUUGGGUGUCAAAUCUACCGGCUCAACCGGUAGCCGCACUCAAAACUGCAGUUCUUGAGUGAAGUAGAGGCAGGCGGAAUUCCUAGUGUAGCGGUGAAAUGCGUAGAUAUUAGGAGGAACACCAGUGGCGAAGGCGGCCUGCUGGGCUUUUACUGACGCUGAGGCUCGAAAGUGUGGGUAGCAAACAGGAUUAGAUACCCUUGUAGUC
Molecule: ribosomal RNA, 440 nt
Filed under: uncultured bacterium
Lineage: Bacteria
Description: partial 16S ribosomal RNA
Rfam family: Bacterial small subunit ribosomal RNA
Source: RNAcentral